Physeter macrocephalus (sperm whale) is the source of this 2283-nucleotide long non-coding RNA. RefSeq lists it as uncharacterized. The transcript has 2 exons. NCBI's taxonomy places the organism in Eukaryota, Metazoa, Chordata, Mammalia, Artiodactyla, Physeteridae. The record is from RefSeq and is a predicted model, not a curated record.
UUCGGCUAGGAGACCCCCCCAGAGCGAAACCCCCGCCACGGCCUGAAGGCAAGCGAGAGACCUCGGAGCCGCUGCCACCGACUCAGCCCAGCCCAGCAGGGGCCCGCCCAGGGGCCACUCCCCAAGGGAGGCAGCCAGUCAUUCGCCCGCCCUUCCGGGCCCGCUCCGGAGGGGACGGUCUCCCGCCCGCCCUCACACAGCUACCUCCUCAGGCCAGGCCCUCAGGGCUUCGUCCACCUCUCACCUUUGACGACUCGAAAUGUGGGCCCAGGUUUUCUAUGGAAACUUUAUAGAGACGGACAUUCAUGGGGAACGGAGUAGUGGGGCAAGAACUGACUGUUCGGGACUUCCCUGGUGGCACAGUGGUUAAGAAUCUGCCUGCCAAUGCAGGGGACACGGGUUCAAGCCCUGGUCCAGGAAGAUCCCACGUGCUGUGGAGCAACUAAGCCUGUGCACCACAACUACUGAGCCUGAGCUCUAGAGCCCGCGUGCCGCAACUACUGAGCCCGAGAGCCACAACUACUGAAGCCCACGCACCUACAGCCUAUGCUCCGCAACAAGAAAAGCCACCUCAAUGAGAAGCCCGCGCACCACAACGAAGAGUAGCCCCCGCUCACCACAACUAGAGAAAGCCCGUGCGCAGCAACGAAGACCCAGUGCAGCCAAAAAUAAAUUAAUUAAUUUAAAAAAAAAAGAACUGACUGUUCAAUCAGUAAUUAUUAGAAGAAGAGUGUGUGUAUGACACCAGGAGAGGUACUAGAUCAUGAGCAGAGACCAGCAUACCCACUAAGAUCUAUAUAUCUUGAUGGCAUAGGAUUCAAGUAGCAUAGGGUGAGAAAUGCCUGCCCAUCCUCCUGCUCAAUAACUACAUGUGCUCAGAAUCUGUUCAUAAUAGAUGGUGAUAAUUAGAUAAGCAGUUGUUCAAAGGUCUCAAAGAGCACCUUUCUACCUCUUCAUUUCGUCAAUCUCAGUGAUCGUGAGAGCUGGGGUAAAAGAGAAGAGAAUUGCCCAAUGCAUAUUCUUUGCAAAGGGAACUCACAAAAUAUUUUUUAGAGGGAGGUGAAUUUGGGAGUGAGGCAGGGGUGAAAAUGGAUCUUUCUGGCAUGGAAGUGCAAUAAUUCCACAGGGGAAGGGGAGGGGCAGCCAUGGGAAGAGAGCAAGGAAAGGAUACAAGGUGCAUCACAAACUUGUAGAGGGAGGGCACCAAGAGUACCUAGAUCAGGAGUGAGUUUGUAAGAGGAGUUUGAAUCCCCAGAAAAUCUCCCUAAGGAGGGAAGGAGAAAGUGUGUAAUGUGUUCAAUGCCUCUUGGCAGGAAAGGGAUAGAAAAUAUACUAGUGGUAAUAAUAACAAGGAAAGUCACUCCAUAUUAGGACCCAUUGACUCCUACCUUGAAUAUAUACCCUUCAACUAUCCUUCAAUUCCUCUUUGGCUCCUCACUUUCACUCAGUCAAAAGCCAUACACAGAGCCCCAGGCCACUGGGGAUUGGUAUUUCUUGCUUCUCCAGGCUUCCCCACCCCAAUACAAAAGAGCAAGAGCAUAAAAAAGGGAUUAAAUAGACAAUUAAGUGACAAGGAAUUAAAUAGAACUAUCUUAUAGAUUUAUUAACGAAAAAUACUUUACAAAAACAGUAUGUUUGGCCCUAAAAUAGUUCAGCUGACUCUCAGGGUUUACAACGGCGACUGAGCGAGUGGCAGUAAUGGCUCUGCUGCUGAGGACAGGAGGAUAUGUUAGUGUGCCUGACUCCAUCUGUUCAGAAGAGCAAUUGUUGUGUUGGCAGCCUCGCAUUCUAGGCCAAAAGUUUGAGGGCAGAAGGACAAUCUGGGCAGGUGGGUUAGCCUGAGUGAUGUGGUCAAGACCAAGGCUACAGGGCUACGUGUCCCUCCAAGGAUGGGGGAUUGGGAAGACAGAAGGUCAGGUAAUAGGGACAGGUGGAUAAAACAAAGAAGUUGGUAAUAUAAUAGGGAACAGAAUACGAGGGCUCAGGUGGAGGUGGGGGCAUAGAGUAUUCAGGAAUAAAAUGGUGACCCUAAGAUCCUAAGGAAUGGCUAGUGUCCAGAGUAAUAUGGAUUCAUCUUUAAGGUGGGUCAAAUAAAGCCCUAAACAGCAGCUGCUUCCUUUUGCUAGGUGAAUGGAAAUUGGAAUUUCAAAUAUUCCCUCUCAAAGAGCCAGGUCUCUUUAGCGGUUCCUGGCACCCCUAGGAGAAGGUGCCAACUCUAUGUUGAGAUGAGACUAGCACAGCCCCAGCAGGGAUGCAGGGUACCAACUCUGCUGCAGUACAGUU